AUACGUAGGGGGCGAGCGUUGUCCGGAAUGAUUGGGCGUAAAGGGCGCGUAGGCGGCCCGGUAAGUCUGGAGUGAAAGUCCUGUUUUUAAGAUGGGAAUUGCUUUGGAUACUGUCGGGCUUGAGUGCAGGAGAGGUAAGUGGAAUUCCCAGUGUAGCGGUGAAAUGCGUAGAGAUUGGGAGGAACACCAGUGGCGAAGGCGACUUACUGGACUGUAACUGACGCUGAGGCGCGCAAGUGUGGGGAGCAAACAGGAUUAGAUACCCUGGUAGUCCGCACUGUAAACGAUGAAUGCUAGGUGUAGGGGGUAUCGACCCCUUCUGUGCCGCAGUCAACACAAUAAGCAUUCCGCCUGGGGAGUACGGCCGCAAGGUUGAAACUCAAAGGAAUUGACGGGG
This 397-nucleotide ribosomal RNA is filed under the name uncultured bacterium. RNAcentral describes it as "partial 16S ribosomal RNA". It matches the Rfam family "Bacterial small subunit ribosomal RNA", at positions 523 to 918 of the family's 1533-position model. The record is from RNAcentral.